AAGGUACUCCCUCCGUCCGGAAAUACUUGUCAUCAAAAUGAAUAAAAGGGGAUGUAUCUAGAUGUAUUUUAGUUUUAGAUACAUCUUUUUUGUCCUUUUUGAUGACAAGUAUUUUCGGACGGAGGAGUAGAUA
This is a non-coding RNA of Triticum aestivum (bread wheat), 133 nucleotides long. The record is from Rfam. Lineage: Eukaryota; Viridiplantae; Streptophyta; Magnoliopsida; Poales; Poaceae.